GGUAGCAAUACCAUGGCGAACGGGUGAGUAACACGUAGGUAACCUGUCUUUAAGUACCGAGGAUAACCAUUGGAAACGAUGGAUAAUACUGGAUAGGAUAUUUUAAGGCAUCUUUUAGUAUUUAAAGAUUUAUCACUUAGAGAGGGGCCUGCGGCGCAUUAGCUAGUUGGUGAGGUGAAGGCUUACCAAGGCGAUGAUGCGUAGCCGGACUGAGAGGUUGAACGGCCACAAUGGAACUGAGAACGGUCCAUACUCCUACGGGAGGCAGCAGUAGGGAAUUUUCGGCAAUGGGCGGAAGCCUGACCGAAGCAACGCCGCGUGAACGAAGAAGUAUUUCGGUAUGUAAAGUUCUUUUAUUAGGGACGAAAAGACAGAUUGACGGUACCUAAUGAAUAAGCUCCGGCUAACUACGUGCCAGCAGCAGC
Molecule: ribosomal RNA, 425 nt
Filed under: uncultured bacterium
Lineage: Bacteria
Description: bacterial SSU rRNA
Rfam family: Bacterial small subunit ribosomal RNA
Source: RNAcentral